UACGAAGGGGGCUAGCGUUGUUCGGAAUCACUGGGCGUAAAGGGCGCGUAGGCGGCUUUAUAAGUCGGGGGUGAAAGCCUGUGGCUCAACCACAGAAUUGCCUUCGAUACUGUAUGGCUUGAGACCGGAAGAGGUAAGUGGAACUGCGAGUGUAGAGGUGAAAUUCGUAGAUAUUCGCAAGAACACCAGUGGCGAAGGCGGCUUACUGGUCCGGUUCUGACGCUGAGGCGCGAAAGCGCGGGGAGCAAACAGG
RNAcentral lists this ribosomal RNA (253 nucleotides) under uncultured bacterium. RNAcentral describes it as "partial 16S ribosomal RNA". It matches the Rfam family "Bacterial small subunit ribosomal RNA", at positions 524 to 776 of the family's 1533-position model. The record is from RNAcentral.